UGUACAGCGAACAGUUGGCAGUGCAGUUCUUCUGUCUGACUAAUUCCAGUCAAAACAAUCUUCUGCCUGGUGGCGGAGGGGACUUUGGAAUGGGAUGGCACUUGGAGUUAGGAGGUUGAGCUCAAGUGCUGCUUUAAAUGCUGAGUCCUGCGGUGGGGGGAUUAGGAGGAUACGGUUCAGCAUUGUUCCGAUGGGACGCCGUGGGGGCUUUCCCUCCAGUGCUCAGCUCUCCUGGCCAGCCGGAGGCUGUGUAAUGAGGACGCUGUAAUGCUGGCAGACACCAGAGGCAUCUGAGGUGUCUGUGGAAAUGGAUUUGUGACCCACAGGAGCGCUCCUCCUUGGAGUUAAAUAAAGGGCAUGAGCCUGUGGAGGUCCCCCGCACUAAAUUCCAGCCAUGGCUGCUUGCUUACCUCUGCAGGCGGGCAUAAAGGACAAAAAUCUCAGAAGUGUGUGGAAUUCGUGGCUGUGUUUACUGCAAGGUUUUUCCUUAGCUUGUUGUCACCCACCUGGAAGAGCUCACUGCCCAAGUUCAUGAGACCCAGCCCAGGUACCACAUAAACCAAGGAGCCGGACCACAGCCCAGAGCAUGGCGGGGAUGCAGAGGACCAGAGCCGAGUAGUAGCCUGAGGCCAGACAGAACACAACCCGGGCAUGUAUUUCCAAAGACAGAAAUGUGCACACUGUCUUCAGGAGCCAGUGCAAACUCACACUUGAAUGUUACCGAUUGCUUAAGACCACACACAUGGCCUGCCAUCCACGCACACAUUGACAUGUCCACAUGUGAAUAUCAUACAUGUCUACACGAGCAGUUUACUACCUGCAUGAUCACACGCCAGCUUUCUUCCUACACUGCUUGCUCUUGUCCUGGCCAUGAGCACAUGAUUUUGUGCUGUGCGAAGACAGAAAGGACCAUUGAAAAAUGCACUGUUGUAAUCUGGGCAUACACAGUUCAGCUGUUUCCACUCAGUGGAAAUUAGCGACAUUAUUCCUAUAUUUCAUUUAUUAGGUUCUGCAGAAACAUGCCAGCAGCCCUGGUCUGAAGCAGCUGCCAGAGCCCUCAGACACCCGCCUCUUGCCAGAAGGCUCCCUCAGGGCGACGGGGCAGCUGGCAGUGGCACUGGUGAGGCGCCUGGGAGAGGCGCAUCCUGGGGCUGCUGCUUGGAGCUAGGGCAUGGCAGCUGACUGCUCGGUGACAUUUGAUGGCUUCCUUCAGCUGCCAGCAGCACAGACUUCCUGCAGAGUCCUGACAUAGCAAAGAAGCCCGCUGGCUCCUCGGCAGAGUUGCGCAGGCCGCGUGAGCAGGAGAGAGGUGAUGCCUACAUGUGUUUCGUUGACGUCGGGCCUGUGACUGUGCCCAAAUACACUGCGGACCGGGUGAUGUGGGAGUCGCUAGGAUCCCCAGAAACAGUACAGAUGAGUGAGGCAGAGCCCAGCCUUCUCCUUUGGGGCAAACUCCAGAGGGCUUCAAGGCUGCCCCCGAGCCCGGCCUCCCUGUUUUGCAGGAGGAGAUGCUGUGUUGGGUCUGAGGGUCGAUGCACAGUGGUGCGCUGGUGUUAGGGAGGGAGGGAAGGAAGCCUUGGCAAAUGGACACCAUCUCAGCCUGCAGAGGAGGAGUAACGCUGGGGAUGUGCUCAUCAGCCAGAAGUUAUCCCUGGCUGAGGGACGGAAAGUGUUCCUGUUCCUCUUCACUUAACUGGAAAAAUGAGAUUUAUUAUUAUUCUCGUAUCAUUACUGUGGCUUUGUUGGGCUUGAUGUUGUACACAAAGUGCCUGUAUAAACUGUGAUUCCACUGCAAUUGUUUACUUACUGUUAACUGAAAUGCUGUCACCAUACUAAAGUUUAGGGAACUCUUAACUCUCAGUGCGCUCAUUUUAGAUAGAAAUAUCACUUGCAUGGAAAUAAAAAGAUAAAUAUUUAUUUCAACGAAAA
This is a long non-coding RNA of Cavia porcellus (domestic guinea pig), 1929 nucleotides long. RefSeq lists it as uncharacterized. The record is from RefSeq and is a predicted model, not a curated record. The transcript has 4 exons. Lineage: Eukaryota; Metazoa; Chordata; Mammalia; Rodentia; Caviidae.